Molecule: ribosomal RNA, 687 nt
Filed under: uncultured bacterium
Lineage: Bacteria
Description: bacterial SSU rRNA
Rfam family: Bacterial small subunit ribosomal RNA
Source: RNAcentral
CUAGGCGCAGCUGACGUUACGAGCCGCGUGUGCGAUGAAGGCCCUUCGUGUUGUAAAGCACUGUCGAGAGGGAGCAAGCCGCAAGGUUGAGCGACCUCUGGAGGAAGCACGGGCUAAGUUCGUGCCAGCAGCCGCGGUAAGACGAACCGUGCGAACGUUGUUCGGAAUCACUGGGCUUAAAGGGCGCGUAGGCGGGAUGGCAAGUCGGAGGUGAAAGCCCCCAGCUUAACUGGGGAAGUGCCCUCGAUACUGCCGUUCUCGAGAGAGGUAGGGGCGUGUGGAACUUCCGGUGGAGCGGUGAAAUGCGUAGAUAUCGGAAGGAACGCCGGUGGCGAAAGCGAUGCGCUGGACCUUUUCUGACGCUGAGGCGCGAAAGCUAGGGGAGCGAACGGGAUUAGAUACCCCGGUAGUCCUAGCCCUAAACGAUGGGUACUGGGUUGCGGGUCAGACAUGGACUCGCAGCCGAAGCAAAAGUGGUAAGUACCCCGCCUGGGGAGUAUGGUCGCAAGGCUGAAACUCAAAGGAAUUGACGGGGGCUCACACAAGCGGUGGAGCAUGUGGCUUAAUUCGAGGCUACGCGAAGAACCUUAUCCUAGACUUGACAUGGUGGAAGUAUCCUGGCGGACACGUUGGGAGGCCGGUAUCCAAUCCGGAGACCAUCACAGGUGCUGCAUGGCUGUCGUCAGC